ACGAACGCUGGCGGCGUGCUUAACACAUGCAAGUCGAACGGUGAAGCGCCUUCCUUUUUGGUGGGUGUGGAUGAGUGGCGCACGGGUGAGUAACACGUGAGUAACCUGCCCCCUUCUUCUGGAUAACCGCAUGAAAGUGUGGCUAAUACGGGAUAUUCUGGGUCUGUCGCAUGAUGGGUCUGGGAAAGAUAUUGUUUCGGUGGGGGAUGGGCUCGCGGCCUAUCAGCUUGUUGGUGGGGUGAUGGCCUACCAAGGCGGUGACGGGUAGCCGGCCUGAGAGGGUGGACGGUCACACUGGGACUGAGACACGGCCCAGACUCCUACGGGAGGCAGCAGUGGGGAAUAUUGCACAAUGGGCGCAAGCCUGAUGCAGCGACGCCGCGUGAGGGAUGGAGGCCUUCGGGUUGUGAACCUCUUUCGCCAGUGAAGCAGGCCUGCCUCGUUUGUGGGUGGGUUGACGGUAGCUGGAUAGGAAGCGCCGGCUAACUACGUG
RNAcentral lists this ribosomal RNA (493 nucleotides) under uncultured bacterium. RNAcentral describes it as "partial 16S ribosomal RNA". It matches the Rfam family "Bacterial small subunit ribosomal RNA", at positions 29 to 507 of the family's 1533-position model. The record is from RNAcentral.